UCUGGUUGAUCCUGGCAGAGGUUACUGCUAUCGAGGUUCGACUAAGCCAUGCGAGUCGAAUGUAGCAAUACAUGGCGAACUGCUCAGUAACACGUGGACAACCUGCCCUUAGGUUGGGUAUAAACCCGGGAAACUGGGUAUAAUACCCGAUAGGUCUCGAUUGCUGGAAUGCAUCGAGAUUUAAAGCUCCGGCGCCUAAGGAUGGGUCUGCGGCCUAUCAGGUAGUAGUGGGUGUAGCGUACCUACUAGCCUACGACGGGUACGGGUUGUGAGAGCAAGAGCCCGGAGAUGGAUUCUGAGACACGAAUCCAGGCCCUACGGGGUGCAGCAGGCGCGAAAACUUUACAAUGCUGGCAACAGCGAUAAGGGAACCUCGAGUGCCAGGUUACAAAUCUGGCUGUCGAGAUGCCUAAAAAGCAUUUCAUAGCAAGGGCCGGGCAAGACCGGUGCCAGCCGCCGCGGUAACACCGGCGGCUCGAGUGGUAACCGUUAUUAUUGGG
RNAcentral lists this ribosomal RNA (500 nucleotides) under uncultured methanogenic archaeon. Its description in RNAcentral is "bacterial SSU rRNA". It matches the Rfam family "Archaeal small subunit ribosomal RNA", at positions 1 to 508 of the family's 1478-position model. The record is from RNAcentral. Lineage: Archaea; Methanobacteriati; Methanobacteriota.